Molecule: ribosomal RNA, 431 nt
Filed under: uncultured bacterium
Lineage: Bacteria
Description: partial 16S ribosomal RNA
Rfam family: Bacterial small subunit ribosomal RNA
Source: RNAcentral
CCUACGGGAGGCUGCAGUGGGGAAUCUUGGACAAUGGGCGCAAGCCUGAUCCAGCCAUGCCGCGUGAGUGAUGAAGGCCUUAGGGUUGUAAAGCUCUUUCAGUGGGGAAGCGGUACCCACAGAAGAAGCCCCGGCUAACUUCGUGCCAGCAGCCGCGGUAAUACGAAGGGGGCUAGCGUUGCUCGGAAUCACUGGGCGUAAAGCGCACGUAGGCGGCUUACUAAGUCAGGGGUGAAAGCCUGGAGCUCAACUCCAGAACUGCCUUUGAUACUGGUGAGCUUGAGUUCGGGAGAGGUGAGUGGAACUGCGAGUGUAGAGGUGAAAUUCGUAGAUAUUCGCAAGAACACCAGUGGCGAAGGCGGCUCACUGGCCCGUCUGACGCUGAGGUGCGAAAGCGUGGGGAGCAAACAGGAUUAGAUACCCUUGUAGUC